UACGAGGGGGGCGAGCGUUGUUCGGAAUUAUUGGGCGUAAAGGGUGCGUAGGCGGUUCCGCAAGUCCUGUGUGAAAUCUUCGGGCUCAACUCGAAGUCUGCACGGGAAACUGCGGGGCUUGAGUGUGGGAGAGGUGAGUGGAAUUCCCGGUGUAGCGGUGAAAUGCGUAGAUAUCAGGAAGAACACCCGUGGCUAAGGCGGCUCUCUAGUACGGUACUGACGCUGAGACGCGAAAGCGUAGGGAGCGAACAGG
This 253-nucleotide ribosomal RNA is filed under the name uncultured bacterium. RNAcentral describes it as "partial 16S ribosomal RNA". It matches the Rfam family "Bacterial small subunit ribosomal RNA", at positions 524 to 776 of the family's 1533-position model. The record is from RNAcentral.